GGCCCUGUGGCCUUAUGGAUAAGGCGUCGGUCUCCAAAACCGAAUAUUCAAGGUUCGAUUCCUUACUGGGUCG
Non-coding RNA from Angiostrongylus costaricensis, 73 nucleotides. Lineage: Eukaryota; Metazoa; Nematoda; Chromadorea; Rhabditida; Metastrongylidae. The record is from Rfam.